GAAAGAACUCCAGGUACUUUUGGUGACUUAGGUCCAACAGGAAAAUGGGUAACCAAUUAACCUGGGAGAUAUUCCCACAUCCUGUUUUUGAAAGAAAGAAACCAUUUUGAAAGUUAGAAAUGAGUUGGAACAAUGCUGCAUUUAAGCUGAGCUCAAGCAGCAGAGUUUUGCUCGACGAAUGAGCCCAAAUCUCGGCCCCAGAGGUCAAGGGGGCAUGGACAGAGCACAGGCUAGGAUUUGCUCGGGGAACAGUGCCUGGGGCAGAGGACGUACGAGGGGAGGAGCUCCUUGCCCGUGAGGCUGCCGGGAGCCCGGAGGUGGGCUGGAAGGACUGGAAGAACCUGGCUCUGCGGCGGAAGCGAAGCGAAAAGAACACUGAAGCGCCAAGAAUUCAAUUAACUUGCCCAAGGCCACACCACUAUGAAGCCAUAGAGCUGAGGCUUAAUCCAAGGCUGUCCGACUCCAGGACCUGAUCUCUUAAUCACAGUAAGAUAAUGCUUCAUGUGGACAUGUACUUGUUAUCUCUGCCAAGCAUGCAUUUUGUUAAACUCUCAGCAAGCAAAAUAUUGGCUACAUGUACGAUCAAGAUUGGAAACAUGGGAACAAGGAAUGAGAAGCUAACAAAACACCAGAAGUCUUCCCAGAACCUUUAAAAUCAUGAUUUAUAACUAUAACCUCCUUUCUCUUGCAUAACCGAUCUCUUUUCCUCUAGUGGAUCACUACUGGCAAAAAAGAAACCUGCUCUAAUGUCCAUUUUAAAAACAAACAUCAAAACCUGUCUUGAUUCCACAUCACGCCUUUCUGGUUGCCUUCCUAUUUUCUGCUCCCCUUGACUACACUGUGUUCACUGCUUCUUCAUUCAUCUCCCUUCUUUCCCAACCUGCUCCAAUAGAGAUCGUGUCCUCACCCCUCCCCUGACACAGCCCUCGUAAAAGCCACAAGUGACCUCCAUGUUAUCAAAUCCAUCGCUUACUUUUUAGGCCUUAACUUGUGAAACUUUUCAUCAGCCUUUGGCACAGUUGGCCAUUGGGUCAGCACUCCUUGAAACUCUUCUUAUGCCUCUGUCAUCAUCCUCUCCUGGUUCUCUUUCAACUACACAGGCUCCUCUUUCUCACUCUCUCUCCCUGGUUCUUGGUUCUGAUUCUAGGCACCUGGUCCCCCCUCCUCCACCCAGGGCUUGGUUCUGGGACCCAGGCCAUUCCCCAUCCACAUGUCUUCCCCCAUGGUAACCUCAUCCAGUCCCAUGGCUCCCAGUGCUCCUUUUAUAGCUCACGCUGUGACAUGACAUCUGCUCAGGCUCCUCCCAAGUUUUAGCUGCCACCUUGAUGUUUCUUCUUCAGGUUUAAUAGGCAUUUCAUACUUAACACGUCUAAGACUGAGGUCUUGAUUUGAGCCCCUAAACUUGCUCUUUCCUCAGAGUUCUCCAUCUCAUAAAUGGCAUCAUAGUUUACCCAGCUGCUCAGAUUAAAACAACAAUAACAACCACCACCUUGAUUUCUCUCUCCUCCAUCCCUAACUCAUUCAUGACAAGGUGGCUUAACUAACUCUACAUGAUAUCAGAAAUCAGUUGACUUCUAUGUAUCCCCAUCCCCCCUGUAACCAUUGUAAUCCAAAGCAUCACCAUCCCUCACUACUACAAUAGCCUUACCUCUGGUUUGUCUGCUUGUUCUUACUACUCAUUCAUUCUGACAACUGCCACCAGAGCCAAUCAGAUCAGGUGACUCCCCUGCUUAAACCUGUCCUUUGGUUCUUAUCUCAAAUAAAACUGAAACGCGUUGCUUCGGCUUUCAAGCUCCUACAUACACUGCCCUCUGAGUUCACCUAGUUCCCUACUCUCCCUCUCCAUCUAAGCUCUACCACGCCAGCCUUCUUUCUAGUUCCCACAUAUGCCAAGCCCCUUUCCUGGCUGGUCCUUCUGCCUGUAAUUCACUUCGCCUAGAUUUUUAAAAAUCAUAUA
This is a long non-coding RNA of Myotis davidii, 1957 nucleotides long. RefSeq lists it as uncharacterized. The record is from RefSeq and is a predicted model, not a curated record. Lineage: Eukaryota; Metazoa; Chordata; Mammalia; Chiroptera; Vespertilionidae. The transcript has 3 exons.